UGGGGAAUAUUGCACAAUGGACGAAAGUCUGAUGCAGCAACGCCGCGUGGAGGAUGACACAUUUCGGUGCGUAAACUCCUUUUAUAUGAGAAGAUAAUGACGGUAUUAUAUGAAUAAGCACCGGCUAACUCCGUGCCAGCAGCCGCGGUAAUACGGGGGGUGCAAGCGUUACUCGGAAUCACUGGGCGUAAAGAGCAUGUAGGCGGAUUAAUAAGUUUGAAGUGAAAUCCUAUAGCUUAACUAUAGAACUGCUUUGAAAACUGUUAAUCUAGAAUGUGGGAGAGGUAGAUGGAAUUUCUGGUGUAGGGGUAAAAUCCGUAGAGAUCAGAAGGAAUACCGAUUGCGAAGGCGAUCUACUGGAACAUUAUUGACGCUGAGAUGCGAAAGCGUGGGGAGCAAA
RNAcentral lists this ribosomal RNA (400 nucleotides) under uncultured bacterium. RNAcentral describes it as "bacterial SSU rRNA". It matches the Rfam family "Bacterial small subunit ribosomal RNA", at positions 355 to 772 of the family's 1533-position model. The record is from RNAcentral.